Long non-coding RNA from Cydia fagiglandana, 1149 nucleotides. RefSeq lists it as uncharacterized. The transcript has 2 exons. Lineage: Eukaryota; Metazoa; Arthropoda; Insecta; Lepidoptera; Tortricidae. The record is from RefSeq and is a predicted model, not a curated record.
GUCAACAUUUUUAAGAAUAUCGGUGAGGCGGCGGGGGACAUUAUUAUCAAACACUUCACUUAAUUCACUUGCAAGGAUGAGUCUUUCAAACGCAAACACUUGGCAUUUAAAUAUAAGGUGUUCAACAUCUGCAACGCUACCAUUCUGGCAGUGAGGACAUGUACCAUCGGCUAUAAUCGAAAAUCUGGCUAAGUGCGCUGGUGCACAGUUGUGACCAAACCUCAAUCUAUUGAUGGUGGUAAUAAAGCUACGACUUCCAAUCUUUAUCUUCUCAUACCAAGGCUUUCCAGGGCUUCAAAUACAGCAUAUGCUUCAGCCGUAAAUAUGGAACAUAAAUCAUGCAACCUAAAGCUUUGAACGAAUUUAGUCUGAGGAUCAUACACUGCACUUCGAACAUGGGACUCUGCUUUACUACCAUCUGUGUAUAAUUUGUAAUAAUUGGGAAUUUGUGACAAGAAAUGUAGAAAAUCAGUAUUAUUAUUGAUAGAGUUUGUGCAUACUGUAAUGUUUAAAAGUUUACUAUUAAAGCUAUCGUCAUAACAUGGCCAAAUUUCAUUUUUAUAUAUAUUACUAAACUUAGCUUCCACCUGUAAGAGUAAUGCUGUUAACUUAGGAAUUCUGGGAUGACCCUUUAUUCUUCUUAUUAUACUUUGAUUAUUUUUAGCAUAUAUCUUAAUUAAAUAUCUGUAAGCUAACAACACCCAUCUGACAGGUAAAGGCAUUGUUUUUGUCUCUACUUCCAUUGCUCUUAUUGGGGUUGAACACAUUGCCCCUGAUAUUAUUCGCAUUGCCUUAUUUUGAAUUAUUUGUAACUUAUGUGUGUGAUCAGUAUUCAUAUGUACAAGAAAACUAUAAUCAAAGUGACUUCUGACUAGGGUUUUGUAUAGUAAGGACAGUACUUUAGGGUCGGCACCCCAAGAUAUACCGGCAAGACAUCUCAUAAUAUUUAAACCUUUAACAGAAUUACAAAUUAUGUGCUUAGCAUGUAGCUCAAAAUUUAAAUGAUUAUCUAUUACUACGCCUAGAAACUUAUGAGAAGGAACUUCUCUAAUAAUCUCAUUAUUAUAUACAAUAUUUACAUUUGUUGUGUCUUUGCUCAAUAUUAAUAACUUGCUUUUGUCAGGAUUUAUCUUUAAGUGUAAAUAAUUA